UGCCCUACGGGAGGCAGCAGUGGGGGAUAUUGCACAAUGGGGGAAACCCUGAUGCAGCGACGCCGCGUGAGGGAAGACGGUUUUCGGAUUGUAAACCUCUGUCUUUGGGGACGAAUUGAGACGGUACCCAAGGAGGAAGCUCCGGCUAACUACGUGCCAGCAGCCGCGGUAAUACGUAGGGAGCAAGCGUUGUCCGGAAUUACUGGGUGUAAAGGGAGCGUAGGCGGCCUGGCAAGCCUGAUGUGAAAUACCGGGGCCCAACCCCGGGGCUGCAUUGGGAACUGCCAGGCUGGAGUGCCGGAGAG
This 305-nucleotide ribosomal RNA is filed under the name uncultured bacterium. RNAcentral describes it as "bacterial SSU rRNA". It matches the Rfam family "Bacterial small subunit ribosomal RNA", at positions 335 to 656 of the family's 1533-position model. The record is from RNAcentral.